This 116-nucleotide ribosomal RNA is filed under the name Escherichia coli. Lineage: Bacteria; Pseudomonadati; Pseudomonadota; Gammaproteobacteria; Enterobacterales; Enterobacteriaceae. The record is from RNAcentral. RNAcentral also lists the same sequence under 3 other names.
CCUGGCGGCCGUAGCGCGGUGGUCCCACCUGACCCCAUGCCGAACUCAGAAGUGAAACGCCGUAGCGCCGAUGGUAGUGUGGGGUCUCCCCAUGCGAGAGUAGGGAAGUGCCAGGC